RNAcentral lists this transfer RNA (63 nucleotides) under Rhizobium sp. OAE497. Its description in RNAcentral is "tRNA-Glu". The record is from RNAcentral. Lineage: Bacteria; Pseudomonadati; Pseudomonadota; Alphaproteobacteria; Hyphomicrobiales; Rhizobiaceae.
CGUCUAUCGGUCAGGACGGCAGAUUCUCAUUCUGCAAAGAGGGGUUCGAAUCCGUCCCCCCUA